This is a non-coding RNA of Phrynosoma platyrhinos (Desert horned lizard), 72 nucleotides long. Lineage: Eukaryota; Metazoa; Chordata; Lepidosauria; Squamata; Phrynosomatidae. The record is from the annotation of a GenBank genome assembly.
GCCAGUGUGGCAUAGUGGUUUGAGCACUGGACUCUAACUCUGGAAACCAGAGUUCGAAUCCCAGCUGGGCCA